Molecule: long non-coding RNA, 415 nt
Filed under: Vitis vinifera (wine grape)
Lineage: Eukaryota; Viridiplantae; Streptophyta; Magnoliopsida; Vitales; Vitaceae
Description: long non-coding RNA (VVIN_LNC005220)
Source: RNAcentral
CUUCUCAGCAUUGACAUGCCUCAGCCUCCGCCCACUCAUAUCCCUACACGCAUCAAAAUUAUUCGUCUUCUUCUGCCCCGCCUUCGUCGCCGCCCCACGGAGGAGCGAACCGAAACCACCCUUGCCGCCGGGAAGAGGCAGAAGAAGGUGCACCGUCGGGAAGAUACCGCUUCCCUUAUCGGCGGAAAUUAGGGUUUCGUCGGAGAUUUGACGCGAUUGCGAAACCAAACGCUGGAGGUGGACAGGGAUCGAUGUGAUACGGUGGAGAUGGCCCUUAAUGACGUCGCCGGAGAUUGUGGGUGAUGUAAGCCGGAUGGUUAGAGUUUUUCCAUCCAGGAGUUUGGCGAAGAGGUGGUAGAUCUCCAUCGUCGGGUCUGUUGGGAAGAUGAGAAAAUUUGACUGGAGAAGGGAGACG